GACGAACGCUGGCGGCGUGCUUAACACAUGCAAGUCGAACGGAAAGGCCCUGCUUUUGUGGGGUGAUCGAGUGGCGAACGGGUGAGUAACACGUGAGUAACCUGCCCUUGACUUUGGGGUAAGUUCAGGAAAGUGGGGCUAAUACCGGAUAGGAGCUCCUGCUGCGUGGAGGGGGGGGGAAAGUUUCGGCGGUUGGGGGUGGAUUCGCGGGUGACCAGCUUGUUGGUGGGGUAGGUGCUUGCCAAGGCUUUGGAGGGUAGGCGGCACGUGAGGGUGACCGGCCACAUUGGGACUGAGAGAGGGCCCAGACUCGUACGGGAGGCAGCAGUGGCGAAUAUUGCACAAUGGGCGGACGCCUGAUGCAGCAACGCCGCGUGCGGGAUGACGGCCUUCGGGUUGUAAACCGCUUUCGCCUGUGACGAAGCGUGAGUGACGGUAAUGGGUAAAGAAGCACCGGCUAACUACGUG
This 468-nucleotide ribosomal RNA is filed under the name uncultured bacterium. RNAcentral's name for it is "partial 16S ribosomal RNA". It matches the Rfam family "Bacterial small subunit ribosomal RNA", at positions 28 to 507 of the family's 1533-position model. The record is from RNAcentral.